Molecule: ribosomal RNA, 468 nt
Filed under: uncultured bacterium
Lineage: Bacteria
Description: partial 16S ribosomal RNA
Rfam family: Bacterial small subunit ribosomal RNA
Source: RNAcentral
GACGACCGCUGGCGGCGUGCUUAACACAUGCAAGUCGAACGGAGCGGCCCUGCUUCUGUGGGGUGCUCGAGUGGCGAACGGGUGAGUAACACGUGAGUACCCUGCCCUUGUUUUCGGGGUGACUUCAGGAAACUGGGGCUCAUACAGGCUAGGUGCUACUGCUGCAUGGUGGGGGUUGGACAGUUUCGGCGGCUGGGGAUGGACUGGCGGCUUAUCAGCUUGUUGGUGGGGUAGUGGCUUACCAAGGAUUCGACGGAUCGCCGGCCUUAGAAGGUAACCGGCCACAUUGGGACUGAGAGAGGGCCCAGACUCCUACAGGAGACAGCAGGCGGGAGUCUUGCACAAUGAGCGGAAGCCUGAGUCAGCAACGCCGCGGGUGGGAUGACGUCCUGCGGGGAGAGAACCGCUGUCGCCUAUGACGAAGCGUGUGUGACGGUAAUGAGUAAAGAAGCACCGGCUAACUACGUG